Molecule: ribosomal RNA, 476 nt
Filed under: uncultured earthworm cast bacterium
Lineage: Bacteria
Description: bacterial SSU rRNA
Rfam family: Bacterial small subunit ribosomal RNA
Source: RNAcentral
ACAUGCAAGUCGAGCGAAUGGAUUAAGAGCUUGCUCUUAUGAAGUUAGCGGCGGACGGGUGAGUAACACGUGGGUAACCUGCCCAUAAGACUGGGAUAACUCCGGGAAACCGGGGCUAAUACCGGAUAACAUUUUGCACCGCAUGGUGCGAAAUUCAAAGGCGGCUUCGGCUGUCACUUAUGGAUGGACCCACGUCGCAUUAGCUAGUUGGUGAGGUAACGGCUCACCAAGGCAACGAUGCGUAGCCGACCUGAGAGGGUGAUCGGCCACACUGGGACUGAGACACGGCCCAGACUCCUACGGGAGGCAGCAGUAGGGAAUCUUCCGCAAUGGACGAAAGUCUGACGGAGCAACGCCGCGUGAGUGAUGAAGGCUUUCGGGUCGUAAAACUCUGUUGUUAGGGAAGAACAAGUGCUAGUUGAAUAAGCUGGCACCUUGACGGUACCUAACCAGAAAGCCACGGCUAACUACGUGCC